ACAGUUUUCAACCUGUGGGUCGGCUGCAAUCAAGUCUAACAAACAAGUGGACAUCUCAGAAAGAUGGUGCUGAUUUCUGAUGUCCUGUCAAGAACGCAGGAAGGAAAGAAGGACAGAAGAUUUAGUUUACAUCUUUUGGAAGCAUCAUACACGGGAACAAAGUAAGAUUCAUAACUUGUCAAAGACCUGGUCACUGAUGAACACCACAUCUUGUUGGAUUCCUGUUUCAUAAAGCCAAUGGUUGCCCAUCUGGAAACAAUAGAGGUUCAUAGAGUGAAGAGAUCUUUGGAGACUGCCUGGAGGAGUCGAAUGAGUCACACACUGACAACAUAAUUUGUUACCACUAGCACUAUAUUUUACAAAAGUUUUCAUUUCAUUUGUUGUGAGUGGAAAAAUGACAUUAAUAGAGCCAGUAGAAAAGGU
RNAcentral lists this long non-coding RNA (423 nucleotides) under Gallus gallus (chicken). RNAcentral describes it as "lncRNA (ENSGALG00000047799.2)". Lineage: Eukaryota; Metazoa; Chordata; Aves; Galliformes; Phasianidae. The record is from RNAcentral.